Molecule: ribosomal RNA, 440 nt
Filed under: uncultured bacterium
Lineage: Bacteria
Description: partial 16S ribosomal RNA
Rfam family: Bacterial small subunit ribosomal RNA
Source: RNAcentral
CCUACGGGUGGCAGCAGUAGGGAAUAUUGCUCAAUGGGGGAAACCCUGAAGCAGCAACGCCGCGUGGAGGAUGAAGGUUUUCGGAUUGUAAACUUCUUUUGUUAGAGAAGAUAAUGACGGUAUCUAACGAAUAAGCACCGGCUAACUCCGUGCCAGCAGCCGCGGUAAUACGGAGGGUGCAAGCGUUACUCGGAAUCACUGGGCGUAAAGAGCGCGUAGGCGGGAUAGUAAGUCAGAUGUGAAAUCCUAUGGCUUAACCAUAGAACUGCAUUUGAAACUGUUAAGCUAGAGUAUGGGAGAGGUAGGUGGAAUUCUUGGUGUAGGGGUGAAAUGCGUAGAGAUCAAGAGGAAUACUCAUUGCGAAGGCGGCCUGCUAGAACAUAACUGACGCUGAUGCGCGAAAGCGUGGGGAGCAAACAGGAUUAGAUACCCCAGUAGUC